CCCUUAGAUGUUCUGGGCCGCACGCACGCUACACUGAUGCAUUCAACGAGUCUAAAACCUGCUCUGAUAGGGGUGGGUAAUCUUUUGAAUGUGCAUCGUGAUUGGGAUAGAUGAUUGCAAUUUUUCAUCUUCAACGAGGAAUGCCUAGUAAACGCAAGUCAUCAGCUUGCAUUGAUUACGUCCCUGCCCUUUGUACACACCACCCGUCGCUCCUACCGAUUGAAUGAUCCGAUGAAUAUCAUGGAUUGAGGAUGCAAGUAGGUUCGCCUAUCUUCAUCUUCGAGAAGUGAAGUAAAUCUUAUCAUUUAGAGGAAGGAGAAGUCGUAACA
Molecule: ribosomal RNA, 329 nt
Filed under: uncultured eukaryote
Lineage: Eukaryota
Description: partial 18S ribosomal RNA
Rfam family: Eukaryotic small subunit ribosomal RNA
Source: RNAcentral